RNAcentral lists this long non-coding RNA (1071 nucleotides) under Homo sapiens (human). Its description in RNAcentral is "HSALNT0022211". The record is from RNAcentral. Lineage: Eukaryota; Metazoa; Chordata; Mammalia; Primates; Hominidae.
ACUUGAAGCAAAUAUUUAAUGCACAUGUUCAAAAUGGCAUUGCACUGAUGAUGUGGAAUACGUUCUUAGUUAAAAGAUUUUCUGCUGCUACAUACUUAAUGGAUAAGGUUGGAAAAUCACCAAAAGAUAGGUUAUGCCGAAGGGUAAGUGAAUCUCCCAUAGCUAGAAUUAUGGUUGUUAAUUCCACACUUUUAUGUAGUACUUUAUUAACUGUAUAGGUGAACUUUGCCUUUUAUCAUUGUGAUGACGUAUCAGAAGGAGAUAAGAAAAAUGAAAAGAGAAUACUGCAUUAAGGAAACUGGUCAUGAACUAUGGCCAGUUUUAAUUUACUUUUCCAGAUUGUUAGAUAGCAUAUUAAACUAGGUUUUUAUAAGAUGUUGUUCAGCUUUGAACUGUGAACAGGUUAACAUGCUACCAUUGCUGCAUAUUCCGAUUAGACAUUUAUAAUGGAAGCAUCCAACAUCAAAUUGAAGCAGGUUCAAAUGAAGUAGUUAAUUUGAUCUACCUAUAUAUAUGAUAUAUAUAAUAACAUAAGUAUACAAAUACAACAUUAGUCUUAACUAAUAUUCUAAUCCAUGGAUAUGGGACUUGUAUUUGACCCAAGAAAUUAAUAGUACUAGCUUCCAUUGUUGAAGACUUUUUCUGAUGUGUUCUUGAGAAUGGUUGUAUGACUAGAGUGUGUACGUGUGUGUGCAUGCAUGUGUGUGUGCAUGUACCCACAAACACUGAAUUAUUUGCUUUGGGGAUGUGAGGAAAUUAUAAGAUUGUUGGUUUUAAAAAGAUUAUAUGGCAGGGCGCGGUGGCUCACGCCUGUAAUCCUAGCACUUUGGAAAGGCGAGGCUGGUGGAUCACCUGAGGUCAGGAGUUUGAGACCAGCCUGACCAACAAGGUGAAACCCCAUCUCUACUAAAAAUAGAAAAACUAGCCAGGCAUGGUGGUGGGCGCCUGUAAUCCCAGCUACUCAGGAGGCUGAGGCAGGAUAAUCGCUUGAACCUGGGAGGUGGAGGUUGCAGUGAGCCGAGAUCGUGCCACUGUACUCCAGCCUGGGCAACAAGAAUGAAACUCUGUCUC